This 70-nucleotide transfer RNA is filed under the name Stethojulis strigiventer (three-ribbon wrasse). RNAcentral describes it as "tRNA-Asp". The record is from RNAcentral. Lineage: Eukaryota; Metazoa; Chordata; Actinopteri; Labriformes; Labridae.
AAGAUACUAGUAAAAUCCAUUACCUAGCUUUGUCAGGGCUAUAUUGCAGGUUAGACCCCUGUGUAUCUUG